CCUACGGGUGGCAGCAGUGGGGAAUAUUGGGCAAUGGGCGCAAGCCUGACCCAGCAACGCCGCGUGAAGGAAGAAGGCCUUCGGGUUGUAAACUUCUUUUCUGAGGGACGAAGAAAGUGACGGUACCUCCGGAAUCAGCCGCGGCUAACUACGUGCCAGCAGCCGCGGUAAUACGUAGGUGGCAAGCGUUCUCCGGAUUUAUUGGGUGUAAAGGGCGUGUAGGCGGGAAAGCAAGUCAGAUGUGAAAACUCAGGGCUCAACCCUGAUGCUGCAUUUGAUACUGGUUUUCGUGAGUGCUGGAGAGGCAAGCGGAAUUCCUGGUGUAGCGGUGAAAUGCGUAGAGAUACGGAGGAACACCGGUGGCGAAGGCGGAUUGCUGGACAGUAACUGACGCUGAGGCGCGAAAGCGUGGGGAGCAAACAGGAUUAGAUACCCGGGUAGUC
Molecule: ribosomal RNA, 443 nt
Filed under: uncultured bacterium
Lineage: Bacteria
Description: partial 16S ribosomal RNA
Rfam family: Bacterial small subunit ribosomal RNA
Source: RNAcentral